AGAGGAGGGACAGGUACCAAUCUCUUCUCUCUGGUGACCAGUGACAGGACUCAAGGAAAUUGCAUGAAGCUGAAUCAGUGGAGGUUUAGUUUAGGUAUCAAGAAAAGGUUUUUCACCCAGAGGGUGGUUGAGCACUGGAGGAGACUCCCCAGGGAAGUGGUCACAGCACUAAGCCUACC
This is a long non-coding RNA of Neopelma chrysocephalum (saffron-crested tyrant-manakin), 179 nucleotides long. RefSeq lists it as uncharacterized. The record is from RefSeq and is a predicted model, not a curated record. Lineage: Eukaryota; Metazoa; Chordata; Aves; Passeriformes; Pipridae. The transcript has 3 exons.